AAAUGAAAUGUUAAUCGUUUCCCAAGAUAUCUAGUUUCUUAAGAAAAAUUUUAAUUUUUUAAAGUUAAUUGUUUUUAUUUAAUUUUUUAAUUAUAAAUAUUAACUUAUUUAUUCUUUAAGGGAUAAGCUUUGAAGUUAAUAACCUAUAAUUUGUUUUAUAAAAUAUAAUAGUAAGCUUUAAACCAGCUAUCUUUAUGAUUACGUUUUAGUUCAUUAUUUUCUAUUUUGAUUUUAUAAUUAUUUUAGGUUUUUUAUUAGGAUUAUUUAUUUAAUUUUAAAAUUUUUGUAAUAAUGAUAGAAUUAGUAUAUUUACUUGUAUAUAAUUUUUACCUUGUGAAUUUAUAAUAAGGAACUAGGCAAAAUUGGUUUCCGCCUGUUUAUCAAAAACAUGUCCUCUUGAAAAUACUUUGAGGUCUGGCCUGCUCACUGAGCGGAUUUUUAAAGAGCCGCGGUAUUUUGACCGUGCAAAGGUAGCAUAAUCAUUAGUCUCUUAAUUAGUGGCUGGAAUGAAUGGCUUGACGAGAAAUCAACUGUCUCUUAAUAAAUUUUUGAAUUUAACUUUUGAGUCAAAAGGCUUAAAUUUUUCUUUAGGACGAGAAGACCCUAUAGAGCUUAACAUUUUACUUUUAUAUAGUUUUUUGUUUGUCUUUCUAUAUUUAAUGAUGAUGUUUUGUUGGGGUGACAUGAAGAAUAAAUAAACUCUUCAUUAUUAUAUCAUUUAUUUAUGUUUGUUGUUUUGAUCCAUAAUUUAUGAUCAUAAGAUUAAGUUACCUUAGGGAUAACAGCGUAAUUGUUUUUGAGAGCU
RNAcentral lists this ribosomal RNA (805 nucleotides) under Schistocerca lineata (birdwing grasshopper). RNAcentral describes it as "partial 16S ribosomal RNA". The stretch from base 333 to 579 matches the Rfam family "Archaeal large subunit ribosomal RNA", at positions 1784 to 2143 of the family's 2987-position model. The record is from RNAcentral. Lineage: Eukaryota; Metazoa; Arthropoda; Insecta; Orthoptera; Acrididae.